AAGCUCGUAGUUGGAUCUGCUAAUUGAGUCUCGUAUACCCUCGGAUCCUUAACUGGGCCUUGUGGAGACUUGGUUACCUUGCCGUCGAGUGUGCUUGCGCUUAAUUGUGUUGAGUACUCGAGACGGAGGUUUUACUUUGAAUAAAUUAGAGUGUUCAAAGCAGCCUUUGGGCUUGGAUAUCAGAGCAUGGAAUAAUAGAAAAGGGCUGUGUCCCAAUCAUGUGGUCGUUGGCGAUACGGUAAUGAUUAACAGGGACGGGCGGGGGCAUUCGUAUUGCUACGUUAGAGGUGAAAUUCUUGGAUCGUAGCAAGACGGACUACUGCGAAAGCAUUUGCCAAGAACGUUUUCAUUAAUCAAGAACGAAAGUUAGAGUAUUGAAGAGGAUUAGAUACCCUCGUAAUUCUAACCAUAAACGAUACAUACUUGCGAUUCGCCAGAGUCCUCAACGACCUGGCGGGAAGCUACCCGGGAAACCAAAGUUCAUUUGUUCCGGGGGAAGUAUGGUUGCAAAAUCGAAACUUAAAGGAAUUGACGGAAGGGCACCACCAGGAGUGGAGCCUGCGGCUUAAUUUGACUCAACACGGGAAAACUCACCAGGUCCAGACAUAGUUAGGAUUGACAGACUGAAUCUCUUUUAUGAUUCUAUGGGUGGUGGUGCAUGGCCGUUCUUAGUUAGUGGAGUGAUCUGUCUGGUUAAUUCCGAUAACGAACGAGAUCCCGGCCAUUUAACUAGCUUCGUUCACUCUAUGUGUACGUGUGCUUCUUAGAGGAACCAUGUGGAAACAAUACCACAAGGAAGUGGGGCUAUAACAGGUCUGUGAUGCCCUUAGAUGUCCUGGGCCGCACGCGCGCUACACUGGGUACCUCAGCAUGAUUGUUAACCUGGUCCGUCAAGGUCUAGGUAAUCACUGAAUGGUACGCCAUACUUGGGAUAGAUUAUUGCAAUUAUUAAUCUUAAACGAGGAAUUCCUAGUAAGCGCCAGUCAUCAGCUGGCGUUGAUUACGUCCCUGCCCUUUGUACACACCGCCCGUCGCUACUACUGAUUGGACGUUUAAGCGAGAACUUCAGAUUCCUAGCGACUGAUCUUCGGUGAAAUCGUAAUGGGAAAAGUAGAUCUAGCUUUGGUGUCUAGAGGAAGUAAAAGUCGUAACAAGGUUUCCGUAGGGGAACCUGCGGAAG
RNAcentral lists this ribosomal RNA (1180 nucleotides) under marine metagenome. RNAcentral describes it as "bacterial SSU rRNA". It matches the Rfam family "Eukaryotic small subunit ribosomal RNA", at positions 624 to 1823 of the family's 1831-position model. The record is from RNAcentral.